RNAcentral lists this ribosomal RNA (253 nucleotides) under uncultured bacterium. RNAcentral's name for it is "partial 16S ribosomal RNA". It matches the Rfam family "Bacterial small subunit ribosomal RNA", at positions 524 to 776 of the family's 1533-position model. The record is from RNAcentral.
UACGUAGGGUGCGAGCGUUGUCCGGAAUUAUUGGGCGUAAAGGGCUCGUAGGCGGUCUGUCACGUCGGGAGUGAAAACUCGGGGCUUAACCCCGAGCCUGCUUCCGAUACGGGCAGACUAGAGGUAUGCAGGGGAGAAUGGAAUUCCUGGUGUAGCGGUGAAAUGCGCAGAUAUCAGGAGGAACACCGGUGGCGAAGGCGGUUCUCUGGGCAUUACCUGACGCUGAGGAGCGAAAGUGUGGGGAGCGAACAGG